UUUUGAUCUUGAUCCGGGUCCACGGUGAAGGACGGCCCAGAGACUCAGCCUUUGCAUUUGAUACUAUUAGCCUCACUAAAGAAGCCAGACCUACAGAAAUGUGACUACCUGACCCUUGGCCGGCUAUCUCAAGUUCUCAGCAUCAUCAAAUCUCUGUGUCACUCAUAAUCACUCCCCAGUUCCCUCUACUUCCAGAAAUAAUAUGUGUCUGUUACAUGUUUACAAGGUAGAAUAAAGCCAGUGAAUGGACA
Mesocricetus auratus (golden hamster) is the source of this 251-nucleotide long non-coding RNA. RefSeq lists it as uncharacterized. The transcript has 2 exons. The record is from RefSeq and is a predicted model, not a curated record. Lineage: Eukaryota; Metazoa; Chordata; Mammalia; Rodentia; Cricetidae.